This is an RNA transcript of Phascolarctos cinereus (koala), 2239 nucleotides long. It is a transcript of the gene named small ribosomal subunit protein uS2 pseudogene, with no coding region annotated. The record is from RefSeq and is a predicted model, not a curated record. Lineage: Eukaryota; Metazoa; Chordata; Mammalia; Diprotodontia; Phascolarctidae.
UAAAAAUGGUAGAGAAAAAAUUAGGGGAAAAUGAGAGCUAUGCAAGAAAAUUAUGAAAAAAGAAUCGACAGUAAGAAAUAGCUCAAUCAAGAGAAUGGGAAAAUGAGAAAUGGUUGGUGGGUGAGAUGUAUGGAAAGAGAGUUGUAGUGAGUGAGAGAUUCCUGGCUGGAGAUAGCUGCACUUUGAGGUAUGUGUGAAAGCAGAGGCCUGAGCAGUGAAACAGGGAUAGGCAGGAAAGCGUGAAAGGAGAGAGCUUGAAAAGGAAAUAGGGAAUGUUUGGAGCGAUCCAGAGAGUGAGAAACAGGUUAAGAGAGAGAAGGAUAACUGAUGUUUGGCUACUUAGAAAGACCAGCUGAGUGAGAAAUGCAACCUCUGAGUGAUGGAUGAAUGGGUAUACCUAGAGAGUGAGAGAUGAAUAGAUGAAGGGAAACAGAGAAGGAGAGAAUUUAUUGAGAAGGACAGAAAGGGUAAUUUAGGGUUAGGGGUUAACUAGCAAAAGGCUGAAUGGAUAGACCCAGAAUGUGAGAAAUGACAGGAUAGUGAAAUCUAGAUGGUAGAAAACGAAUGACUGGCAAGAAGCAUAUGAAGUGAAAUAGUUGAAAUGAAAAUUGGCAAGGCAGAGAUGAGUGAAUGUUUAUAGCUUGGCAAAGGGAAAUGGAUGGUUAGACUGUCAGAGAAGAAUACAUGAAAGACAAGACAUACUUGGUCAGAGAUGGGUGAGUGUAUAGAUCAAAAAGGGAGACGGAGGAAAUUUAGAACUCAAAAUCUUAUGGAAGUGAAUGCUGAAAACUAAAAAUAAAUAAAUAAAUAAAUUUUUAAAAGUGGACAGUUUUGUGAUUGGAGAGAGAUAGAAAUUGAAAAAUAGAUGACUACAGAGAUCUAGACAAGGACAGGUGAAUGAAUGGCAAGACCUAAACAUUCAGAGACUGAUGUUUGAAAAGGUCUUGGGAGGCAUAAAAGAAUGAAUGGUUAAAAGAAAAAGGCAAGGGAUGAAUGGAAGAGCAAACUAGACAGUAAGAGAUGGAUGAAUGGAGAAAUUGGUAAAAUGAGAGAUGGAUGGUUAGCAACCAAAAAGUUAGGGAUGCCCGGAAAGAGAACUGUACCAAGUGAGAGGUUCUUGUCUGGAGAUACCAGCACAGUGAAUAUACAUGAAAGGAGAAGUCCUACCAGUAAAGGGUGGACAGACAGGUCAAGAAACACAGAGAGCCAGGAAAGGAAGAUUUUAAGAAUUAGACAUGGAAUGUAUGCUGAGAUCCUGACAUCGAGGGACAGGUGAAAAGACAAAUCUACAAAGUGAGGUUUAGAUGCUUAGAAAGACAACCAAAGUGAGAAACGGAAGGGUAAACUAAAGUACCAAGUCAGAAUUACAUGCUUAGAAAAACCUAUACUGGAAGUGGUCGAUGAUACAGGGAGAUAUGGAUUAAUGGAGAGGCUUAGGCAGGGACUGAUGGAUUAUUUGGAGCGACAGAUGGGACUUAGGUGUGGAUACCAGGAAGGAGGUACACAGGCUGAAAGAGCAGACAAAAGGGAAGGGUAGAAUGAGAGUGGGAAGAACAGAAGAGCCUGGGAGGGAAAGGAAGAUAGAAGAAUAGGAGGGUCAGGAGAGACCAAGACAGACCCACAUGGAGCUAUACAACAGACUGAGAAAAUGCAACGGAUCAAGUAACAGAAGGAGUGGAUCUAUGGAUAGAGGAAUACAGCCACAGGUCAUCAAACAGCAAUCCUGAGAGAUGAACACUUUCAGCCUUGGUGAAUACCUCAUGAGUCCAGGAGAUCCAGAGGCUUCGAAUCAGAUGCUAGUUGCCCAGUGGGAAGUGUUUCUUGCAACUGGAUCCUUUUUUGGAGGAGUGAACGUACACUGAAGAUGGCAUGGAUCUAGUGCCCUCGAAAGGCCAGAAGCGUGAGAGCUGGAGUCCAAGGCAAAGUCUGUAAUCUGCCUAGCCUGGUCUGCCAACACAGUCCCACGGAACGACGGGGAUCCAGCUCAGCUGCCAAGACGCCAGAAAGUGACUCUGCCCAUUGGCUGUGCCACGUUCAGGAUGCGCUGUAGCAAAGGCUUUGAGUUGGACCCCACUCUCCUCGGGGACCAAAGUGGGACAGAGGCUUUUGGGGGAGAAAACAGACUUCUGUUCUUGCUGUAUCUUCUCAGUGAAUAGACCUUUAUAACAGCAAAUUGAAGUCAACUGGUGAAAUGCAGGCAAUGAUGAUCAAGCAAAUCACCGGGGGGGGGGGGUAGAUA